Molecule: ribosomal RNA, 358 nt
Filed under: Streptomyces aurantiogriseus
Lineage: Bacteria; Bacillati; Actinomycetota; Actinomycetes; Kitasatosporales; Streptomycetaceae
Description: bacterial SSU rRNA
Rfam family: Bacterial small subunit ribosomal RNA
Source: RNAcentral
ACGGGAGACCGCCGGGGUCAACUCGGAGGAAGGUGGGGACGACGUCAAGUCAUCAUGCCCCUUAUGUCUUGGGCUGCACACGUGCUACAAUGGCCGGUACAAAGAGCUGCGAUACCGUGAGGUGGAGCGAAUCUCAAAAAGCCGGUCUCAGUUCGGAUUGGGGUCUGCAACUCGACCCCAUGAAGUCGGAGUCGCUAGUAAUCGCAGAUCAGCAUUGCUGCGGUGAAUACGUUCCCGGGCCUUGUACACACCGCCCGUCACGUCACGAAAGUUGGUAACACCCGAAGCCGGUGGCCCAACCCCUUGUGGGAGGGAGCUGUCGAAGGUGGGACUGGCGAUUGGGACGAAGUCGUAACAA